Molecule: ribosomal RNA, 301 nt
Filed under: uncultured bacterium
Lineage: Bacteria
Description: partial 16S ribosomal RNA
Rfam family: Bacterial small subunit ribosomal RNA
Source: RNAcentral
CAGUAGCCGCGGUAAUACGGAGGGUGCAAGCGUUAAUCGGAAUUACUGGGCGUAAAGCGCACGCAGGCGGUCUGACAAGUCAGAUGUGAAAUCCCCGGGCUUAACCUGGGAACUGCAUUUGUGACUGUAUAGCUAGAGUACGGCAGAGGGGGAUGGAAUUCCGCGUGUAGCAGUGAAAUGCGUAGAUAUGCGGAGGAACACCGAUGGCGAAGGCAAUCCCCUGGGCCUGUACUGACGCUCAUGCACGAAAGCGUGGGGAGCAAACAGGAUUAGAUACCCGCGUAGUCCCUGUCUCUUAUAC